CUCCAAUGCGAUAACGGCGGUGAGUUCAUCAACUCCACCCUACGCUACUUCUUCUCCACCCACGACGUCUCCUACCAUUUUUCGUGCCCACACACAUCCCCUCAAAAUGGUAAGGACGAAUGUCUUAUCCGUACCACGAAUGACGUUGUGCGUACCCUCAUCUUCCAAGCCAACCUCACUCCGCCGUUUUGGGUGGAGGCCCUCCACACGGCCACAUACCUCCUCAAUCGCCGACCAUCACGUGCCAUUCAUGGCCAUACACCUUACUAUCGUCUCCACGGCAUUCACCCCACCUAUGAUCACCUUCGAGUCUUUGGUUGCCUUUGCUUCCCAAACCUCUAUGCCACCACUCCUCACAAACUUGCCCCACGGUCUACCCGCUGCGUCUUCUUGGGAUACCCACUCGAACACAAAGGCUACCACCUCUAUGACUUAGAUUCCAGACGCAUCAUCGUUUCUAGUCACGUUGUGUUUGAUGAGACAAUUUUUCCAUAUAUCUCUCCCACAUCACCUACCAGCCCGCCACCUACCACAAAGGAUCCCACGAAUCCCGCUGCAGCUGUGCCUCCCCGAUCCCAACGCACCGGCUGGACCCCACCACCCGUGCGCACCCACACCACCGAGCGAUCCGCCAAUCAUGUCGCCCCACACACCGGCCACCCUAUCUGCCUGCUCCACGUGUUCCACCCCACUGCGCUCCGCCAGCCCGACCGCAUCUACCUCGCCUCCCGCGCCGUCCCCACUUGCUGGGCCGCAGCGCACUACCUCCAACCACAGCGCUGCCACCCGAUCUACCUCGGAUCGUGUGCCUACCUCGUCCACUCCUCCUCUGACCGAAUCUCCCUCGAAUCACACACCCACUUCCGUCCCCGGUGA
RNAcentral lists this ribosomal RNA (876 nucleotides) under Triticum aestivum (bread wheat). RNAcentral describes it as "partial small subunit ribosomal RNA". Lineage: Eukaryota; Viridiplantae; Streptophyta; Magnoliopsida; Poales; Poaceae. The record is from RNAcentral.